UACGAAGGGGGCUAGCGUUGUUCGGAAUCACUGGGCGUAAAGAGCGUGUAGGCGGCUUGGUAGGUCUCGCGUCAAAACCUGAGGCUCAACCUCAGUUCGCGUGGGAAACCACCUAGCUAGAGUCCGGAAGAGGAGAACGGAAUUCCCAGUGUAGCGGUGAAAUGCGCAGAUAUUGGGAAGAACACCAGUGGCGAAGGCGGUUCUCUGGGACGGUACUGACGCUGAUGAGCGAAAGCCAGGGGAGCAAACGGG
This 252-nucleotide ribosomal RNA is filed under the name uncultured bacterium. Its description in RNAcentral is "partial 16S ribosomal RNA". It matches the Rfam family "Bacterial small subunit ribosomal RNA", at positions 524 to 776 of the family's 1533-position model. The record is from RNAcentral.